This 414-nucleotide long non-coding RNA is filed under the name Cricetulus griseus (Chinese hamster). RNAcentral's name for it is "lncRNA (ENSCGRG00000025298.1)". The record is from RNAcentral. Lineage: Eukaryota; Metazoa; Chordata; Mammalia; Rodentia; Cricetidae.
GUUUGAUAAAACACUUGUGUUUUAUGGAAUAAUGAAAUUAUUGAUCAUAAAUAAUAAUUGCUUUCUCAUUAUUAGCUAUUUGAAAUAAACCUGGAAGGGACCAGAACUGAAUCGGAAAUCCAAGUCUUUGUGUGGGGAUUGAUUGACGCACUCAGGACCAGAAUGCUGACAGAACCUUGGACCAGUACACACCAGGAAAGGAAGAGACACCACCUGCACCCACUGGAAGAAGAGAUGGGAAGACGACAAUAUAAGAACAUAUCCAACAACAGAAAAACCAAUAUGAUGCCACCAGAUUCUAGGGACUUUUUCUUUUUGAGACUCCUUCGUACUCUUGGAAUUAUUUUUAUUUAGUUUCUUACAUUUCCUCAAACUCUAACUUUUUUUAUAAUUCUUAAUAAAGCUUAAUUCAGC